UGAGGAAUAUUGGUCAAUGGGCGCAAGCCUGAACCAGCCAUCCCGCGUGAAGGAAGAAUGCGCUACGCGUUGUAAACUUCUUUUCCAGGGGGAGAAUAAUCCUGUCGUGACAGGACUUGACGGUACUCUGGGAAUAAGCAUCGGCUAACUCCGUGCCAGCAGCCGCGGUAAUACGGAGGAUGCGAGCGUUAUCCGGAUUUAUUGGGUUUAAAGGGUGCGUAGGCGGAUUGAUAAGUCAGUGGUGAAAUUCUACAGCUUAACUGUAGACUUGCCGUUGAUACUGUUAGUCUUGAGUGUGGUCAAGGCAGGCGGAAUGUGUAAUGUAGCGGUGAAAUGCUUAGAUAUUACACAGAACACCGAUUGCGAAGGCAGCUUGCUGGGUCAUUACUGACGCUGAUGC
This 400-nucleotide ribosomal RNA is filed under the name uncultured bacterium. RNAcentral describes it as "bacterial SSU rRNA". It matches the Rfam family "Bacterial small subunit ribosomal RNA", at positions 355 to 752 of the family's 1533-position model. The record is from RNAcentral.